This 497-nucleotide ribosomal RNA is filed under the name uncultured bacterium. Its description in RNAcentral is "partial 16S ribosomal RNA". It matches the Rfam family "Bacterial small subunit ribosomal RNA", at positions 28 to 507 of the family's 1533-position model. The record is from RNAcentral.
GAUGAACGCUGGCGGCGUGCCUAAUACAUGCCAGUCGAGCGAACAGACGAGGAGCUUGCUCCUCUGACGUUAGCGGCGGACGGGUGAGUAACACGUGGAUAACCUACCUAUAAGACUGGGAUAACUUCGGGAAACCGGAGCUAAUACCGGAUAAUAUAUUGAACCGCAUGGUUCAAUAGUGAAAGACGGUUUUGCUGUCACUUAUAGAUGGAUCCGCGCCGCAUUAGCUAGUUGGUAAGGUAACGGCUUACCAAGGCAACGAUGCGUAGCCGACCUGAGAGGGUGAUCGGCCACACUGGAACUGAGACACGGUCCAGACUACUACGGGAGGCAGCAGUAGGGAAUCUUCCGCAAUGGGCGAAAGCCUGACGGAGCAACGCCGCGUGAGUGAUGAAGGUCUUCGGAUCGUAAAACUCUGUUAUUAGGGAAGAACAAAUGUGUAAGUAACUAUGCACGUCUUGACGGUACCUAAUCAGAAAGCCACGGCUAACUACGUG